Molecule: long non-coding RNA, 793 nt
Organism: Saccostrea cuccullata (small rock oyster)
Lineage: Eukaryota; Metazoa; Mollusca; Bivalvia; Ostreida; Ostreidae
Exons: 7
Source: RefSeq, a predicted model, not a curated record
UCGCGAAAAGGAAAAAGGUGAUAAGCUUUGGAUGGAAUUUCUGUUUUAACAGAAGAUGAAGACAUUUUACGACCCUGUGCUGCGUUGCAGUGGAAUGUGCCUGAGACGAUCCCCCACAGCGCCUGCAUAUAUAGUCAGCUUGUGAAAAUGGAAUCCGAAUACUCACAAGAAAUGACAAAAGCAGUAUGAAAAUUAACACAAAGAAAUUGUGCCAGAAAGUUUGAAGUAUCUAUGGGAAUAAUCAACAUGAACUUGCUAAGCCUUCCUUCUUAAAGUGACAUGACCAGAUAUUUGGCUACCCAGUCUGAGUAUCUUUCUGCUAAAUGAAAUUAAAUAUUGUGGAGUAACAUGGAGAAAAGGGCACCUCAACAUGUUCAAGGUCAAGCAGCUUAUUACCUUAUCCAUAGUAUCUUGUUGCUAAAUGAAAGAAUUAAUGUGGAGGAACAGAGAAAAGGGCACCGCACCAUGUUCAAGGUCAAGCAGAAAUUUGGAGCUUGAUGUGCUCCUCCAUAGCUGAAAACUUCUUGGGAUGAAGAGAAGAAAAAGCAAGAAGAAGCAGUUUUAAAUAUUAAUUACGUCUUCGUACCACAAAAAAUGAUUCGAAAGAUGAUACUACCUAUGAAAUUAGGAAACUGAAGUGGCGUUCUGAUGAAUGUGAAAAAGUCCUCAAAGAACAGGACACCAAAAGUGCCACUCUCAAAUCAAAGCACUCUAAAAGGCAGAGUAUAAGAAGAACUAGGACAAAUAAAGAAUUGAAGAGAGUCAAACCUAUUGAUGUCGUUAUUGAACAGAG